CUUGUAAUUUGGACUUGGAAAUAACGUUGGUAGUAUAUUAAUUUUCUGUUGUUAGAAUGUUAUUGUUUUAUAUUGUACGCAACGCUCAUCGCGACAGCCAUGAUGCGUACAUUUACGUAUGUACAAUGCGUGAGUGCGUAUACACGCGUGUGGAUCGAGCAGUGCGGAGUGCUCUUUAUUUAGAGUAUAUUUAUAUAUAAAUAACUGUUUGAACGCGUCGAGAUCAUGAGCAGACGCACGCUUGUCGCGACAGCCCAUCGGAAGCAGUAAUAGUUCUGGAGACUGUAGUCGCAUUAUCUUACAUACGUAUGAUGCGUGAGUGUGUCAUAUAUACGUACGUUUGUGCUUGUGCUGUCGAGCGCUUUUAAUUGUAUACAACAUUUUUAUAUGAGUAGCUGGUGAUUCAAGAUCUAUUUUUUGACCUAUAUAAGAGAGAGAUUUGCAGAAGAAAAGAAAUAUACCAAAGUAUUAAUAAGGAUCAAACAUAUUCUUGAUGUAUGUACUCGGGCCGCGAGGCUGAGCAAUAUUCUAAGGAAAGUAUUAUACAAUUGUAUCGUUUUAUAUUGUGCGCAACGCUCAUCGCGACAGCCAUGAUGUACAUGAUUAUCUUACAUACGAUGCGUGAGUACGUAUACACGUGUGUCAAUCGAGGAGUGCAGAGUGCUCUUUAUUUACAGCAUAUUUAUAUAUAAGGCAAUGAAUAUGUCUUAACAUAUGGGAUCAAUUGUUGUAUCAAAUUCAAAAAACCACCAUUUGAAAAAUUUGACCCCGGCUAAGAUAAACAUCAGUGAACAAUAUAUUAUAAGGAAAACUCUGUACAAGAUACUAGAAAUGCUAAAAGAUGAUCAAGAAGCUUUUACACAAGUCAGGCUAUUAGACAACAAUUCCUUGUAAUACAGAGAAAGACUUGGAACACUCUAUAAUGGAAUGGCUUAGAUUUGCAAACAUCCGUAAACAAAGAAAAAAAUCUUAAAAGCAACUGUUUGAUAAAGAUCCGGAAAGAUUAAUAAUCUGUUUAAAAGGAAAGAAUAAGAGUUUGGAAAAAAAUAGUAAAAGAGUUAUAUUAAACUAAAGCAUCUGUAUCGCAUUGCCUAAAGAAGAGUUAGAAGGCACCUUAAUUUCUCUUAUCCGAAAGCUGACUUCAAAAAUCCUUUCCUAGGAUUCCUUCCUAGGAUCAAUACUUUCUGAGGUAAUCGGCAGAGAUAAUUUGCAGAAAUAAUUGGCACACGAAAUAAAUCUCAUAAUAAAACCUAUAUAUGUAUAUGUA
Molecule: long non-coding RNA, 1267 nt
Organism: Temnothorax curvispinosus
Lineage: Eukaryota; Metazoa; Arthropoda; Insecta; Hymenoptera; Formicidae
Exons: 6
Source: RefSeq, a predicted model, not a curated record